CCUACGGGUGGCAGCAGUGAGGAAUAUUGGUCAAUGGGUGGGAGCCUGAACCAGCCAAGUCGCGUGAAGGAAGAAGGUACUUAGUGUUGUAAACUUCUUUUAUCGGGGAACAAAGUGGGGGACGCGUCUCCGUAUGUAUGUACCCGAUGAAUAAGCAUCGGCUAACUCCGUGCCAGCAGCCGCGGUAAUACGGAGGAUGCGAGCGUUAUCCGGAUUUAUUGGGUUUAAAGGGUGCGCAGGCGGGGAGUUAAGUCAGCCGUGAAAAUUUGGGGCUCAACCCCAGGAGGGCAGUUGAAACUGGCAGCCUUGAGUUGGAGUGAGGUAUGCGGAAUUCGUGGUGUAGCGGUGAAAUGCAUAGAUAUCACGAAGAACUCCGAUUGCGAAGGCAGCCUAC
This 394-nucleotide ribosomal RNA is filed under the name uncultured bacterium. Its description in RNAcentral is "partial 16S ribosomal RNA". It matches the Rfam family "Bacterial small subunit ribosomal RNA", at positions 338 to 729 of the family's 1533-position model. The record is from RNAcentral.